This 370-nucleotide ribosomal RNA is filed under the name uncultured eukaryote. RNAcentral's name for it is "partial 18S ribosomal RNA". It matches the Rfam family "Eukaryotic small subunit ribosomal RNA", at positions 592 to 976 of the family's 1831-position model. The record is from RNAcentral.
CAAUAGCGUAUAUUAAAGUUGUUGCAGUUAAAGAGCUCGUAGUUGGAUUUCUGGUCGGAAGCUCCUGUCCUCUGAUGAGCGUACAAGUGCGUCCUACCAUCCUUCUGUUAACCUUUAAGGCUUUCGCGGCUUUCUAGGGGCUCAGAUAUUUUACCUUGAGAAAAUUAGAGUGUUUCAGGCAGGCUAGCGCCGGAAUACAUUAGCAUGGAAUAAUGGAAUAGGACUUUUGCCUCUUCUGUUGGUCAUGAGGCUCGAGUAAUGAUUAAUAGGGAUAGUUGGGGGCAUUAGUACUUAACUGUCAGAGGUGAAAUUCUCGGAUUUGUUAAAGACUAACUUAUGCGAAAGCAUUUGCCAAGGAUGUUUUCAUUAA